UUAUUUAUGUAACCACAUGGUCUUGCCUCCCCCCUUGUGGGGGGUCAUGGUGGACCAGGCUGGUGGCCCUUGGUGACGUCAUAAGCGGCUGGAAUGAGGGGAGGAGCGGUGUGUUCCGUGUUCCUUUGUGGGCGAGUUAGUGGUUGGAGUGGUUGGUUGGCUUGUUGCUCUUGACUGUUGAUUGAGUACCUUUGUCUUCACACCAUCUUGUGCAGCAUCUUGUAGCUUUGGCUCUCAGAACAUCUGAGCAAAGUGACAAGGAACUGCUGCAGAUACCUUGUGGUGAUCUCUCUGCCAGCUAGUCACACGUGCUGUGAUGGGCGCUGCGUGCAGUCAGAUCAGCCCUGAGCCUGACGUGGUGGGAACGGAGGCUGAUAACAUGAGGAAGCCGCAGCUGGAGCGUGCGGUGUCAUCUCUUAACGUUCCAGCAAUUGCGGCAGCCCAUGUUAUUAAGCGCUACGUCGCCCAGGCGCCAGAGGAACUCUCCCUGGAGGUAAGCAGUUACAGGCAUUCCUUGUUGUCAUGCACAGGAGGGUAGAAGGUGUGAACGCCUCAGGAAUAUUCUCAGCCACCUUGAGAAUGUCUCGUGAGGUGAAGCUCGGAAGGUUUGGUUCCAGCUUAGACUUGGGCUGGGUUGGGAGGAGUUGGGCCAUCUCUCAAAUAUGGUUUGAUUGGGCAUUUGAACUCUCUGAUCAAGCAGAUGCUGCCCAGUUAUGGGAGCCUGGUCUCUGAGCAACAGCAGACCGGUGUGUGAAGUGUGCAGAUGUGUUCAGACAGCCCUGCUAACAGAUGCCCGUGGUUAAACUGAAGCUCUCCAUUGCCUUUGGCAGAGAGCCUGCUGCUUUUGAGACCCGUUUCCUACUGCACGGCUGCAUUGUGUAUGUUGUGUAACUCCUGUACCUCCAAGUUCAGUUUUGGAAGGGAAAAUGCCA
This is a non-coding RNA of Coturnix japonica (Japanese quail), 932 nucleotides long. The record is from RefSeq and is a predicted model, not a curated record. NCBI's taxonomy places the organism in Eukaryota, Metazoa, Chordata, Aves, Galliformes, Phasianidae.